This 357-nucleotide transfer-messenger RNA is filed under the name Methylophaga sp. It matches the Rfam family "transfer-messenger RNA". From Rfam's summary of the family: Bacterial tmRNA, also known as 10Sa RNA or SsrA, is named for its dual tRNA and mRNA-like properties. Its role is to liberate the mRNA from a stalled ribosome. The record is from RNAcentral. RNAcentral also lists the same sequence under 2 other names. Lineage: Bacteria; Pseudomonadati; Pseudomonadota; Gammaproteobacteria; Thiotrichales; Piscirickettsiaceae.
GGGGACGACCUGGCUUCGACGUGGGUUACAAAACUUAAGGUGCAUGCCGAGUAUGUUAAUUCUUCUCGUAAAACAGAUUAACAAAAUAUAGUUGCAAACGAUAACAACUACUCUCUAGCAGCCUAGGCUUGCUAGCCUCUGACUAAAGCCGUGCUUAUGCGUUUAGGUUUCAGGGGUCGAUUCUCAUAAGACAAGCUUGACGUAUGCUUGGUACUGAUAGAUUGAAAUUUCACAAGAUCGCUAUUUGUUUUCCCUGUUCAUCGGGUAGCUUGUAGUUAAACUAAUAGAUGAAAUAAGCAUGUAGAUCCGAAAGCAGAGGAUUUGCGGACGCGGGUUCGAUUCCCGCCGUCUCCACCA